CUACGGGUUGCUGCAGUCGAGAAUAGUCUACAAUGGACGAAAGUCUGAUAGUGCGACGCCGCGUGGAUGAAGAAGCAUUUCGGUGUGUAAAGUCCUUUUCUGUGUGAGCAAUGUUUUCCAGGUUAAUAGCUUGGAGAAAGCGAUAUUAACACAGGAAUAAGCUCCAGCUAACUCCGUGCCAGCAGCCGCGGUAACACGGGGGGAGCAAGCGUUGUCCGGAAUUACUAGGCGUAAAGGGUAAGUAGGCGGAACUGUAAGUCAGAUGUUAAAGGCACCGGCUCAACCGGUGUAUGGCAUUUGAUACUGUAAUUCUAGAGUAAGGUGGGGGAAGACGGAAUUCCUGGUGUAGCGGUGGAAUGCGCAGAUAUCAGGAGGAACACCAGAGGCGCAGGCGGUCUUCUAUACCAUUACUGACGCUCAAUUACGAAGGUGUGGGUAUCAAACAGGAUUAGAUACCCUUGUAGUC
This 466-nucleotide ribosomal RNA is filed under the name uncultured bacterium. Its description in RNAcentral is "partial 16S ribosomal RNA". It matches the Rfam family "Bacterial small subunit ribosomal RNA", at positions 339 to 795 of the family's 1533-position model. The record is from RNAcentral.